Molecule: ribosomal RNA, 572 nt
Filed under: fungal sp. P1N6
Lineage: Eukaryota; Fungi
Description: eukaryotic LSU rRNA
Rfam family: 5.8S ribosomal RNA (bases 196-349)
Source: RNAcentral
CAGCGGAGGACAUUACUGAGUUAUAACUCCAAACCCAUGUGAACUUACCAAUGUUGCCUCGGCGGGAAGCUUACCCUGUAGCUACCCUGUAGCGCCUACCCUGUAUUAGUUACCCUGUAGGCGGGUGGCGAGCCGCCAGAGGACCACUAAACUCUUGUUAUUUUGUCACUCUGAGUAUUAAAACAAAUAAGUUAAAACUUUCAACAACGGAUCUCUUGGUUCUGGCAUCGAUGAAGAACGCAGCGAAAUGCGAUAAGUAAUGUGAAUUGCAGAAUUCAGUGAAUCAUCGAAUCUUUGAACGCACAUUGCGCCCAUUAGUAUUCUAGUGGGCAUGCCUGUUCGAGCGUCAUUACGACCCUCAAGCCUUAGUUGCUUGGUAUUGGGAGCUUACCCUGUAGUAACUCCUCAAAGUCAGUGGCAGAGCUGUGGAACACUCUAAGCGUAGUAAUUCUUCUCGCUUCUGUAGUGGCUACAGCGAUUGCCAUAAGCCUAUUUUUUUAAAGGUUGACCUCGGGAUCAGGUAGGAAUACCCGCUGAACUUGAGCAUAUCAGUAAGCGGGAGGACGAAGGUU